Manis javanica (Malayan pangolin) is the source of this 2559-nucleotide non-coding RNA. The record is from the annotation of a RefSeq genome assembly. NCBI's taxonomy places the organism in Eukaryota, Metazoa, Chordata, Mammalia, Pholidota, Manidae.
AUGGCUCAAAGCCCACGCAGCACCACUGGUGGGAGAGCCCUCACCAUGCAUUGGCAAGCGGAGGCCGGCACCUCACAUCUGAAGCGCCGAGUUCCUCCCAUCCAGAUGCAGAGGGAGUCACGUUCCCACAGUUUUGUGCAUCUUGGGACUACAUCGAAGGGACACCCACUUUCUAUCGCACAGCUUGGGCGCCCAGCCCUGACCGCGGUCACCUCCACAAGCUCCGGGCUCACCCUCCCUGCUGCCCUCCCCUUCACCUGUGCUGGGAACCUGCGGCGCAGGAGCCGCUGGGAGGAUGAGGAGGAAGUGAGGGCCGAGAACUCUGGGCAAGAAGGCCCUGGGGAGCAGAGCCGGGAAACUGCCUCAAAGUGCAUGAAGCUGGCAGUGCAAGUAAAUGCACACAAGUGCAUGCAGACAGUGAGGAAGGGCCGUUUGUCUGGCCGCUCUUCCUGCCCUGACAUGGGACUCCUGGACCCGCUGGGGCUGGACUCCCGCACCCCCACCGCCAGUGAGGACAACGGCCGCCCCAGCACUGACCCCGACUACAGGCUGGGCAUAGAGCGUGGCCAGUUUCCUCUGAUGCUGGGGAGACUGGAGCAGGAAGGCCGCAGUCGCCCCUCACCUCUGCUUCCUCCCGGAUCCCCCGCGUGGGAUUCCCUUUCAGAGUACCGCCCUUUCACUUUCCAGACAGCUUGUCAGCAGGCCAGCUCUACCCUCCUAACAGGAAGCAAGAACCCCUUGUCUUCCCAUGCAACAGAGCUGGGCCCCCACACACCCCCAGCACUGCUGUACCAGGACCCCGAGCCUUACUGCACCACCCUCCGUGCUGUCAGUCACGUCCAGGCAGCCAGUGAGAGCUCGUCCCCUCCAAAUCUCUUCCCCCUGGUGUCCUGUGAGAGCCCCCUGUCCGAAGAGAGCCUGGUGGCCAUGGGCUGCCUGGCCCAGGACUUCCUGCCCGGCUCCAUCACCUUCUCCUGGAACUACAAGAACAGCAGUGACGUGAGCACCAGGGACAUCAAGACCUUCCCCUCGGUCCUGCGGGGGGGCAAGUACGUGGCCACCUCCCAGGUGCUCCUGGCCUCCGUGGACGUGCUCCAGGGCUCCGAUGACUUCCUCACGUGCCAAGUUCAGCACGCCAACGGCAACAAGGUCGUGAAAGUGCCCCUGUCAGCGCCCGCAGAGCUGCCCCCCAGUGUGGACGUCUUCAUCCCGCCCCGGGACGCCUUCUCCAGCAACAGCCAGCGCACGUCCAGGCUCAUCUGCCAGGCCACAGGCUUCAGCCCCAGGCACAUCUCCGUGUCCUGGCUGCAAGACGGGAAGCGGCUGGAGUCUGGGGCCACCACGGACAACGUGGAAGCCGAGACUAAGGGGUCAGGGCCCGUGACCUUCAAGGUCACCAGCACGCUGACCAUCACCGAGACUGCCUGGCUCAGUCAGAGCACAUUCACCUGCCGCGUGGAGCACAGUGGGCUCACCUUCCAGAAGAACGUGUCCUCCUUGUGCGGCAGCGGUCCAAACACUGGCAUCCAGGUCUUCGCCAUUCCCCCUUCCUUCGCCAGCAUCUUCCUCACCAAGUCGGCCAAGCUGUCCUGCCUGGUCACAAACCUGGCCACCUAUGACAGUCUGGCCAUCUCCUGGACCGGCCAGGACGGCAAGCCCCUGAAAACCCACACCAACAUUUCCGAGAGCCACCCCAACACCACCUUCAGCGCCACGGGCGAGGCCACCAUCUGCGUGGAGGAUUGGGAGUCGGGCGACGAAUUCACGUGCACAGUGACGCACACGGACCUGCCCUCGCCGCGGAAGCAGACCGUCUCCAGGCCCAAGGAGGUCGCCAAGCACACGCCCUCGGUCUACGUGCUCCCGCCCACCCAGGAGCAGCUGAAACUGCGGGAGUCGGCCUCCGUCACCUGCCUGGUGACGGGCUUCUCCCCACCGGACGUGUUUGUGCAGUGGCUGCAGAAAGGGCAGCCCGUCCCCUCCCACAAGUAUGUGACCAGCGCCCCGACCCCCGAGCCCCAGGCCCCGGGCCUCUACUUCGCGCACAGCAUCCUGACAGUGAGUGAGGAGGACUGGAGCGCCGGGGAGACCUACACCUGCGUCGUGGGCCACGAGGCGCUGCCCCACACGGUGACCGAGAGGACCGUGGACAAGACCACCGAGGGCGAGGUGAGCGCCGAGGAGGAGGGCUUCGAGAACCUGAGCACCAUGGCGUCCACCUUCAUCGUCCUGUUCCUCCUCAGCCUGUUCUACAGCACCACCGUCACCCUGUUCAAGGUGAAAUGACCCACCAUGGAAGACUCCCGGAGGCCACAGAGGCGGAACCACGCAGGGCACCUGUGGGCCCGGGGUCCCCUGCCCGUGUGGCCGGUCGGCUUGUACGUAAACUUUCCCCAUGUCACCCUGCAUGGGACGCUCUAAGAAACAGCUUCUUUCCAUGGCCCGAUGCUGUGGGUGGUGGGGACCCUGCAGCCCCGGGCUCUGCCCCCGCAGAUGCACACACUUUGCAUCGUACGCACGUUCCCCCUUGAAAUAAAUGUGUACAUUUUAUCUUGCGAA